This 241-nucleotide unclassified non-coding RNA is filed under the name uncultured fungus. RNAcentral's name for it is "sequence contains ITS2". Lineage: Eukaryota; Fungi. The record is from RNAcentral.
AACGCACAUUGCGCCCCUUGGUAUUCCGGGGGGCAUGCCUGUUCGAGCGUCAUUACAACCCUCAAGCUCUGCUUGGUCUUGGGCGUCACCGGUCCCCGGUGUGCCUUAAAAUCAGUGGCGGCGCCACCUGGCUCUAAGCGUAGUACAUCCUCUCGCUACAGACGCCCGGUGGAUGCUGGCCAGCAACCCCCCAUCUAUCAAGGUUGACCUCGGAUCAGGUAGGGAUACCCGCUGAACUUAA